Molecule: ribosomal RNA, 300 nt
Filed under: uncultured bacterium
Lineage: Bacteria
Description: bacterial SSU rRNA
Rfam family: Bacterial small subunit ribosomal RNA
Source: RNAcentral
GGCCGCGGGAAUUCGAUUAAGCAAUUCGCUGAAGGAGGGGGUCGCGGCUGAUUAGUUAGUUGGUGAGGUAACGGCCCACCAAGACGAAGAUCAGUAGCCGGCCUGAGAGGGCGCACGGCCACACUGGAACUGAAACACGGUCCAGACUCCUACGGGAGGCAGCAGUGGGGAAUUUUGCGCAAUGGGGGAAACCCUGACGCAGCAACGCCGCGUGGAGGAUGAAGUCCCUUGGGAUGUAAACUCCUUUCGAUCGGGACGAUGAUGACGGUACCGGAAGAAGAAGCACCGGCUAACUACGUG